AGUCGAGGGGCAUCAGGAAGAAAGCUUGCUUUCUUUGCUGGCGACCGGCGCACGGGCUGAGUAACACGAUAUCCAACCUGCCCUUUACUCGGGGAUAGCCUUUCGAAAGAAAGAUUAAUACCCGAUAGCAUAAUGAUUCCGCAUGGUUUCAUUAUUAAAGGAUUCCGGUAAAGGAUGGGGAUGCGUUCCAUUAGGUUGUUGGUGAGGUAACGGCUCACCAAGCCUUCGAUGGAUAGGGGUUCUGAGAGGAAGGUCCCCCACAUUGGAACUGAGACACGGUCCAAACUCAUACGGGAGGCAGCAGUGAGGAAUAUUGGUCAAUGGGCGCUAGCCUGAACCAGCCAAGUAGCGUGAAGGAUGAAAGCUCUAUGGGUCGUAAACUUCUUUUAUAUAAGAAUAAAGUGCAGUAUGUAUACUGUUUUGUAUGUAUUAUAUGAAUAAGGAUCGGCUAACUCCGUGCCAGCAGCCGCGGUAAUACGGAGGAUCCGAGCGUUAUCCGGAUUUAUUGGGUUUAAAGGGAGCGUAGGUGGACUGGUAAGUCAGUUGUGAAAGUUUGCGGCUCAACCGUAAAAUUGCAGUUGAUACUGUCAGUCUUGAGUACAGUAGAGGUGGGCGGAAUUCGUGGUGUAGCGGUGAAAUGCUUAGAUAUCACGAAGAACUCCGAUUGCGAAGGCAGCUCACUGGACUGCAACUGACACUGAUGCUCGAAAGUGUGGGUAUCAAACAGGAUUAGAUACCCUGGUAGUCCACACAGUAAACGAUGAAUACUCGCUGUUUGCGAUAUACAGUAAGCGGCCAAGCGAAAGCAUUAAGUAUUCCACCUGGGGAGUACGCCGGCAACGGUGAAACUCAAAGGAAUUGACGGGGGCCCGCACAAGCGGAGGAACAUGUGGUUUAAUUCGAUGAUACCCGAGGAACCUUACCCGGGCUUAAAUUGCAGUGGAAUGAUGUGGAAACAUGUCAGUGAGCAAUCACCGCUGUGAAGGUGCUGCAUGGUUGUCGUCAGCUCGUGCCCGUGAGGUGUCGGCUUAAGUGCCAUAACGAGCGCAACCCUUAUCUUCAGUUACUAACAGGUNAUGCUGAGGACUCUGGAGAGACUGCCGUCGUAAGAUGUGAGGAAGGUGGGGAUGACGUCAAAUCAGCACGGCCCUUACGUCCGGGGCUACACACGUGUUACAAUGGGGGGUACAGAAGGCAGCUAGCGGGUGACCGUAUGCUAAUCCCAAAAUCCUCUCUCAGUUCGGAUCGAAGUCUGCAACCCGACUUCGUGAAGCUGGAUUCGCUAGUAAUCGCGCAUCAGCCACGGCGCGGUGAAUACGUUCCCGGGCCUUGUACACACCGCCCGUCAAGCCAUGGGAGCCGGGGGUACCUGAAGU
This 1376-nucleotide ribosomal RNA is filed under the name bacterium NLAE-zl-C531. Its description in RNAcentral is "16S ribosomal RNA". It matches the Rfam family "Bacterial small subunit ribosomal RNA", at positions 60 to 1427 of the family's 1533-position model. The record is from RNAcentral.